Molecule: ribosomal RNA, 468 nt
Filed under: uncultured bacterium
Lineage: Bacteria
Description: partial 16S ribosomal RNA
Rfam family: Bacterial small subunit ribosomal RNA
Source: RNAcentral
GACGAACGCUGGCGGCGUGCUUAACACAUGCAAGUCGAACGGAAAGGCCCUGCUUUUGUGGGGUGCUCGAGUGGCUAACGGGUGAGUAACACGUGAGUAACCUGCCCUUGACUUUGGGAUAACUUCAGGAAACUGGGGCUAAUACCGGAUAGGAGCUCCUGCUGCAUGGUGGGGGUUGGAAAGUUUCGGCGGUUGGGGAUGGACUCGCGGCUUAUCAGCUUGUUGGUGGGGUAGUGGCUUACCAAGGCUUUGACGGGUAGCCGGCCUGAGAGGGUGACCGGCCACAUUGGGACUGAGAUACGGCCAAGACUCCUACGGGAGGCAGCAGUGGGGAAUAUUGCACAAUGGGCGGAAGCCUGAUGCAGCAACGCCGCGUGCGGGAUGACGGCCUUAGGGUUGUAAACCGCUUUCGCCUGUGACGAAGCGUGAGUGACGGUAAUGGGUAAAGAAGCACCGGCUAACUACGUG